ACGAACGCUGGCGGCGUGCCUAAUACAUGCAAGUCGAGCGCGGGAAGCUCAUCAAUCAUCCUUCGGGUGACUGUUGAGUGGAACGAGCGGCGGAUGGGUGAGUAACACGUGGGCAACCUGCCUGUAAGCUUGGGAUAACUCGUGGAAACGCGAGCUAAUACCGAAUAAAAAGUUUGUUCGCAUGAACAGACGAUGAAAGACGGCUUUUGCUGUCACUUACAGAUGGGCCCGCGUCGCAUUAGCUAGUUGGUGGGGUAAAAGCUCACCAAAGCAACGAUGCGUAGCCGACCUGAGAGGGUGAUCGGCCACACUGGGACUGAGACACGGCCCAGACUCCUACGGGAGGCAGCAGUAGGGAAUCUUCCGCAAUGGACGAAAGUCUGACGGAGCGACGCCCGCGUGAGUGAUGAAGGUCUUCGGAUCGUAAAACUCUGUUGUCGGGGAAGAACAAGUAUCGGCCUAAUACGCCGGUACCUUGACGGUACCUGAUUAGAAAGCCCCGGCUAACUACGUGCCAGCCGCCGC
RNAcentral lists this ribosomal RNA (525 nucleotides) under uncultured bacterium. RNAcentral's name for it is "bacterial SSU rRNA". It matches the Rfam family "Bacterial small subunit ribosomal RNA", at positions 29 to 518 of the family's 1533-position model. The record is from RNAcentral.